AUGGAUUUUAGAACUAUAUGCAGCAACCUUGAAAAGAAUGGAAAGUAUAUGAUGUCGGAGGAUGUCUAUAAUGAUGUAAAAUACAUUUGGGAGAACUGCUAUAAGUAUAACAAUGAGGCAAGUAAAAAUGAACUUUAUGAAGUACUGGACUACCGGUUCUUGGGAUUGCUCAAUAUGUUCCAAAUGAGAACCUUUUGA
This is a non-coding RNA of Vicia faba (fava bean), 198 nucleotides long. NCBI's taxonomy places the organism in Eukaryota, Viridiplantae, Streptophyta, Magnoliopsida, Fabales, Fabaceae. The record is from the annotation of a GenBank genome assembly.